GGCUGAAGGGUUGGUUAAUGAAGACACCCUCAAACCAUCGGUAAGGGAGCCCUAAGUUACAGAUGGUAUGAAAAAAAAUCACACCAAAUUUUUCUGAACUGUGCACAUCAGGCAGAGUGGGACAGUCUGAGUAAAUUGAACUAGAAGAACAGGAACCACGAACAUCACUUUUCAUCCACCACCCCAACCCCAUCGUAAGAGAUGAAGAGAAAGGAAAUGGUUCUGAAAUGAAGAUCCAGUUUGCUUUGAAUGGACAUUAAAGAUGGGAUGGAUCUUUCCGUAGGAAUACAGCAUUACUCUGAUGUCCUUGGGCAAAAUUAACAAACAUGAGGUCCAUGAAAUUUGGGAUUCAAACUCCAUAUUUGUCUCUCUUUCAUUUUUGCCUACAAGUGUUUGUCACUUGACUGUUCUUGGGAUUUCACAGUGAACCUCUUUUUCAACAUGUAACAUUCAUUACCAUUAAAGAUAAUGCAAAAUUAAA
Molecule: long non-coding RNA, 481 nt
Organism: Mauremys reevesii (Reeves's turtle)
Lineage: Eukaryota; Metazoa; Chordata; Testudines; Geoemydidae
Exons: 2
Source: RefSeq, a predicted model, not a curated record